GAUGAACGCUGGCGGCGUGUUAACACAUGCAAGUCGAACGAAGCACUUUAUUUGAUUUCCUUCGGGACUGAUUAUUUUGUGACUGAGUGGCGGACGGGUGAGUAACGCGUGGGUAACCUGCCUUGUACAGGGGGAUAACAGUUGGAAACGGCUGCUAAUACCGCAUAAGCGCACAGCAUCGCAUGAUGCAGUGUGAAAAACUCCGGUGGUAUAAGAUGGACCCGCGUUGGAUUAGCUAGUUGGUGAGGUAACGGCCCACCAAGGCGACGAUCCAUAGCCGACCUGAUAGGGUGACCGGCCACAUUGGGACUGAGACACGGCCCAAACUCCUACGGGAGGCAGCAGUGGGGAAUAUUGCACAAUGGGCGAAAGCCUGAUGCAGCGACGCCGCGUGAGCGAAGAAGUAUUUCGGUAUGUAAAGCUCUAUCAGCAGGGAAGAUAAUGACGUUACCUGACUAAGAAGCACCGGCUAAAUACGUG
RNAcentral lists this ribosomal RNA (480 nucleotides) under uncultured bacterium. Its description in RNAcentral is "partial 16S ribosomal RNA". It matches the Rfam family "Bacterial small subunit ribosomal RNA", at positions 28 to 507 of the family's 1533-position model. The record is from RNAcentral.